ACAUUUCCACAGUGUUAGCAUUAUAAAACAAGGAACAUGGUCAUUCAACAGAAGGCUGUAAUUCACCCCGACUAGUUCCUGAUUUAAAGAGCAUCACAACGACACCAUUUUGUACUUUUAAACCUUAGAUUAUUCUUUCAGUGAUUUCAGACCAUUGUAUAUUGCCGGGUGAUAUUGUAUACUGGGUGUACAAUAACAAGUACCCUUUCUUCAUGAAGGUCGUGGUUCCUUUGGAGUUGACUGAACGACUGCUGGCCAGUUUUGUCUGGAGGAAGGCAGGCAUUCAGCAGUUGUGUCUGGUCUGGUCGAGUUCCUGCCCGACAACAUUGCAGACACAUGCCAGAUUUUACAACGCCUGGAUAGGUAUUUAACAUAUCGGAUAACCACAUCAUAUAUAGCAAUUUGUUGCUCUAGUGCACAGUCAAUGACGUGGCAAACAACCAUUGGUUGAUGAAACGCAAUGCCUGCACAUCUAGUUGGGCAGGAACGACCUAUGGCUCUCCCAAUCGUCUUAAAAAUCGCUCCUCUACUAGUCUCUUAUCUACACUGAUUGGAAAAGACUAGACAGGUCUCACCAUGAAGCUGGCUUUCAUCUGGUCAGUUCUUCCAGAUCAGUACAGCUGAAGGAGAGGAUGAUGUCUGGAUAGUAGAGACACGACAGUUAAACAUCUUCCUCUUCUGCAGACCGACCGCAGGAUCCUGACUGUACCAGAGUUCAGACAGGACAACAAACCCAUUCAAGCAAAAACUAAAAAAGGACAGUAGUCUUCUGUAGAACAUAUCGGAUGCUAUUACACAACUUAAAACAUGGUUGGUACAGUUGAAACUUGCAGGGGGCAUCACUGAGGGUUUCCUCCUCGAGAGAUUAAGGCUGUAGAAUCCUUCUUAAAGCCACCCUGUCUUACUGGACUACAAUGUAUCAGGAUCUAAGAUAAUACGGCAGGUAGCCUAGUGGUUAUAGUCAGGUAGCCUAGUGGUUAGAGCAGGUAGCCUAGUGGUUAGAGCCAGGUAGCCUAGUGGUUAGAGCCAGGUAGCCUAGUGGUUAGAGCCAGGUAGCCUAGUGGUUAGAGCCAGGUAGCCUAGUGGUUAGAGCCAGGUAGCCUAGUGGUUAGAGCCAGGUAGCCUAGUGGUUAGAGCCAGGUAGCCUAGUGGUUAGAGCCAGGUAGCCUAGUGGUUAGAGCCAGGUAGCCUAGUGGUUAGAGCAGGUAGCCUAGUGGUUAGAGCCAGGUAGCCUAGUGGUUAGAGCCAGGUAGCCUAGUGGUUAGAGCCAGGUAGCCUAGUGGUUAGAGGCAGGUAGCCUAGUGGUUAGAGGCAG
Molecule: long non-coding RNA, 1315 nt
Filed under: Salmo salar (Atlantic salmon)
Lineage: Eukaryota; Metazoa; Chordata; Actinopteri; Salmoniformes; Salmonidae
Description: lncRNA (ENSSSAG00000087235.1)
Source: RNAcentral